GAAUAGUAUAUGCCAGCGGUUCCCACACUUUUCAGGCCACCACCUCCCAGGUUGUGACCGAGUCCACGCACCCACCCUAAGAUUCGAGUAGUACUAAGAUCCCGUCGAUUUCCUGAAAUUUUGUCCAUUUUUUACGAAUUUUGUGCUCGCAAAGUAUGAGGCUCUGAGCGAUGGCUAUCAAAACUGAACGAAAAUGUACCUGGGGGGUGAAUGAAUGUGCUCAAGAGUCUGGGUAAGUUUUAAACAAAGAAUAGACAACUCCGCUGAAGCGUACAGCAUACGUUAGUUUUAAAACGAUGGCAGUUAAUGAUGUGUUUGGAAUUUUAAUGAUACAAAAUCCGCCAUUACAUUUUUUUUUUCCUUACGCACCCCUAGUGAUCAGCUUACGCACCCCCAGGGGUGCGCGCACCACACUUUGAGAACCGCUGGAAUAUGCUAUAGUUGCGCUAGGCCGCGGUGCUCAUCUCUGUCAUAUUGGCCCUUGAGCCUGCGGUGGGUGAGAACUUAAUACCUCGGGACACGAGGCAAGUGCAACUUCCGGGUUAUCACAGUUUACCUUCCUCAGGUUUCCCCAGGUAUCCAUUUAUCGAUGACCCGGAAGGCAGGAUAAACAGCUGGGUUGACUGCGCGCCGACUGCCUAGGCCGGGAUUCGAAUCAAGACCUGGGCCCGUAUCCUCGACAACUAUUAAUACUAAACUUGGUAUUAACUUUCGACUUUGGUAUUAACUUCACUCUCAAAGUGUAUCCUCAACAACUAUUAGCAUAAUACCUAAUCUUAACUUUGGUAUUAACUUGAGAGUGCUGGCGAGGACUUCUAAACACUUAAUAGUAAAGUUAAUAGUGAAACCCAGACCCAGACCCAUAUCAACAUGGCCCCCGGACUUCCUCGUCCAGCCCGCCUCCGCAAUUUAGAGUUUGAUAGGGCGCUUUGGAACUGUAUAACGAUGGUGAACUUGUCAAGACAUACAUAUUAGACCGUGCAGGAAUGGAGUAUGUGACUGAUUUGGUGAGAAGAGAGCUACAAGAUCCAGUUCAAAGGGAGCAUUGCCGCACCCCGGGGUUGAAAGUGAUUUUGACUUAAAGGUACUUGGCUACAGGAAAAAUGCUGCAGUGUUCAAGUGAUGAGUUUGGGGUAAGCCAGAGUAGUGUAAGCAGGGUGAUUGCGGAAACUCUGGCCGCCCUCAGUGACCCGUAGGUAGUCGGGAGGUUUAUCCAGUCUCCCCUUGAUAGGGUGGAGAUCCGUGUAAAGCAAGCAGAACUCUACCAACUUGCCGGUGUUGUGGGAGUGAUAGACUGCACCCAUGUGAAAAUAAUGGCACCAAAGGAAAACGAUGUAGUUUAUGUCAACAGAAAAAAUAAAUAAACAUAGCUUGAACAUACAAUUAGUGUUUGAUGCCUUUGUUAUUGAUUAAAAUGUGAAAUAUUCGAGUUAAGGAAAACAAAACAUGGGAAAAAAACUUUUAUUUGUAGCAGAAAGGUACACACAUGCAAAUGAAAAAGAUGACAUUAAAAUUGCAUUAAAAUGUCAUUUAGAAUAUGAUUUAUAAUUAUUGCUGCCGGUUAUUCAUAUUGAGAUAAUGGUCGAGGUGACCACAUCGCGAACAUCAUGACUUAUGAGUGAAGUAAAACGAGUUUACUUGGUUUCUGUUUACAAAGUUCCAAGUGGAAAAACAACUUUAUUGUGAAUUCAGUGUAUACUUUUCUGGAGUAUUGUGUUUACUGAGUGAAUUGGUGACCAAUCUGUUGCUAUUUGUGUCUUGCUUGAAGAUAUUCAUCAUUGGAUUCAAAGCUAUGGUAUUAAUGUGCAAUAGUCAUCAUAGGAGGAGGCGGUGGCUUGAGUCGUCAAAGUAACGGCCUCGUGUUCAGGAGGACGCGAGUUCAAUCCCCGCCCGGUGCCACCAAGCUGGGAUUUUUCAGCCGCCGCCGAGUGGCUUAAAA
This is a long non-coding RNA of Eriocheir sinensis (Chinese mitten crab), 1939 nucleotides long. RefSeq lists it as uncharacterized. The transcript is spliced from 2 exons. The record is from RefSeq and is a predicted model, not a curated record. NCBI's taxonomy places the organism in Eukaryota, Metazoa, Arthropoda, Malacostraca, Decapoda, Varunidae.